UGGGGAAUAUUGCGCAAUGGGGGGAACCCUGACGCAGCCAUGNCGCGUGAAUGAAGAAGGCCUUAGGGUUGUAAAGUUCUUUCGGUAUUGAGGAAGGUUGAUGUGUUAAUAGCACAUCAAAUUGACGUUAAAUACAGAAGAAGCACCGGCUAACUCCGUGCCAGCAGCCGCGGUAAUACGGAGGGUGCGAGCGUUAAUCGGAAUAACUGGGCGUAAAGGGCACGCAGGCGGUUAUUUAAGUGAGGUGUGAAAGCCCCGGGCUUAACCUGGGAAUUGCAUUUCAGACUGGGUAACUAGAGUACUUUAGGGAGGGGUAGAAUUCCACGUGUAGCGGUGAAAUGCGUAGAGAUGUGGAGGAAUACCGAAGGCGAAGGCAGCCCCUUGGGAAUGUACUGACGCUCAUGUGCGAAAGCGUGGGGAGCAAACAGGAUUAGAUACCCUGGUAGUCCACGCUGUAAACGCUGUCGAUUUGGGGGUUGGGGUUUAACUCUGGCGCCCGUAGCUAACGUGAUAAAUCGACCGCCUGGGAGUACGGCCGCAANNNA
RNAcentral lists this ribosomal RNA (545 nucleotides) under uncultured bacterium. RNAcentral describes it as "bacterial SSU rRNA". It matches the Rfam family "Bacterial small subunit ribosomal RNA", at positions 355 to 895 of the family's 1533-position model. The record is from RNAcentral.